AGAACUUUUAUCGACUGCAACGAAGGGCACUUCAUCUUAUGCAGAUUGUGGCCUACUUAAUAAUGCAAAGUUAUGUAAAUAGAUUUGAUCAGCUCACAAAUGCAACAAACGGACUCUCAUCAAUGGAAAAAGAUAGCUGGAAAGCAGAGGGCAGGGACUAUCCUUAUUCAACCCAUGAUAACAAGGCUAUGUUACAAAGCAGCAUCGAAUCAUAUGAUAAUGGGUUGGGCC
Long non-coding RNA from Conger conger (European conger), 231 nucleotides. RefSeq lists it as uncharacterized. The transcript has 3 exons. Lineage: Eukaryota; Metazoa; Chordata; Actinopteri; Anguilliformes; Congridae. The record is from RefSeq and is a predicted model, not a curated record.